AAAAAAGCAAACUGUGGGUUCCCGUGCCAACGUUUGACUGUCAAUCUUAUAUGAAAUUUUUUUAUAAUUAUUAUUUUCGUUGUUGUUAGAUGAUAAAACAUGAUUAAUACUUUAUACGUGACUUAUCUUUUUAAUUUUUUAAUAAUUUUUUUAAAUAAGACGGACAGUCAAACGUUGGACACGGAAUUCAGGGUUUGCCUUUUU
Molecule: microRNA precursor, 204 nt
Organism: Oryza rufipogon (brownbeard rice)
Lineage: Eukaryota; Viridiplantae; Streptophyta; Magnoliopsida; Poales; Poaceae
Rfam family: MIR812 microRNA precursor family
Source: Rfam